This 497-nucleotide ribosomal RNA is filed under the name uncultured bacterium. RNAcentral's name for it is "partial 16S ribosomal RNA". It matches the Rfam family "Bacterial small subunit ribosomal RNA", at positions 28 to 507 of the family's 1533-position model. The record is from RNAcentral.
GAUGAACGCUGGCGGCGUGCCUAAUACAUGCAAGUCGAGCGAACAGACGAGGAGCUUGCUCCUCUGACGUUAGCGGCGGACGGGUGAGUAACACGUGGCUAACCUAUCUAUAAGACUGGGAUAACUUCGGGAAACCGGAGCUAAUACCGGAUAAUAUAUUGAACCGCAUGGUUCAAUAGUGAAAGACGGUUUUGCUGUCACUUAUAGAUGGAUCCGCGCCGCAUUAGCUAGUUGGUAAGGUAACGGCUUACCAAGGCAACGAUGCGUAGCCGACCUGAGAGGGUGAUCCGCCACACUGGAACUGAGACACGGUCCAGACUCCUACGGGAGGCAGCAGUAGGGAAUCUUCCGCAAUGGGCGAAAGCCUGACCGAGCAAUGCCGCGUGAGUGAAGAAGGUCUUCGGAUUGUAAAACACUUUUAGUUGGGAAGAACAAAAGUGAAAGAAAACAUUGCCGUUUUGACGGUACCAAAACAAGAAGCCACGGCUAACUACGUG